GCGCGCGCGCAGGGCUGUAUCACCAAUUUUACAGCUUCCAUUUGAGCUGUGACACCAUGAUCAUACACCAACGGCCCAAAGGCAAAACUGGCCAAAAUGUUCUUAGAAUUCUGCUGGAAUUGUACUUUUCCUCCUGCUUUAUUUAGCAAAUCAAACGGUGACAUGGUGGAAGAAAUAAGAUGUCUUUAGGAACCAACAAGAUGCCUUCCGCUUGCCAUGCCAGUAAGUUUCUCCAAGUAUUGC
Molecule: long non-coding RNA, 243 nt
Organism: Perognathus longimembris pacificus (Pacific pocket mouse)
Lineage: Eukaryota; Metazoa; Chordata; Mammalia; Rodentia; Heteromyidae
Exons: 3
Source: RefSeq, a predicted model, not a curated record